Cucurbita maxima (winter squash) is the source of this 668-nucleotide long non-coding RNA. RefSeq lists it as uncharacterized. The transcript is spliced from 3 exons. The record is from RefSeq and is a predicted model, not a curated record. NCBI's taxonomy places the organism in Eukaryota, Viridiplantae, Streptophyta, Magnoliopsida, Cucurbitales, Cucurbitaceae.
CAGAACAAUGUGAGAGACGGAUAAAUUGUCGUGAUUUCGAGAUCGAAGAACUAACGAGAAGAAGAAGUCCCGGAAUGUAAUCAACUUGGACAGGUAAAGAGAUUGCAGCCAUACAUAAACAUGUGCAGGCUUAGCAAUGCAAACAUACUGAAAACAGGAUAGACAACAUCCAUAUAAGAAACUUCAUUUGGACCAGAGAAGACGCCAGACAAAUGAGCCAACGAUGCGUAUACAAUGAACAACGACAUGAAGCAACCCGUAAAUAACCCUGAAACCAACGAACGAUUCGAGAGUUCAAAAGGCAUACCUUAUCGGAGCUGAUAAAGGCCGACUUUUUCACUCCUUGAAGAUAGCUCGCCGACGCCUUUUGGUUCGCCACCUGUUCCACCAAAAACACCUAAAUUAUCAUAAUUUUUUUUUUAAUUAUGUGAUGUCCUACCUUAGUUGGUUGGUUCGGAGAACAAAACACCAUUUAUAAGGGUUGUGAAAACCUUCUUCUAGCAUAUGCGUUUUAAAGCUUUGAGGGAAAAAUCCGACCAAAGAAGACAAUAUCCGCUAGCGGUGUGCCUAAGUGGUUACCUUGUCGAAUUUUUUAAGGAUCUUGACGAAGGCCUUCAUGUUGAGCCAGCUGCCACACAGAAAUCAAACCAUGAGCUCUGUUUUUUGCC